AACGAACGCUGGCGGCAGGCCUAACACAUGCAAGUCGAGCGAGAAGCAUCCUUCGGGAUGUGGGAAGCGGCGGACGGGUGAGUAAUGCGUGGGAAUAUGCCCUUUGGUACGGAAUAGCCCUUGGAAACGAGGAGUAAUACCGUAUGUGCCCUACGGGGGAAAGAUUUAUCGCCAAAGGAUUAGCCCACGUUGGAUUAGCUAGUUGGUGAGGUAAGAGCUCACCAAGGCGACGAUCUAUAGCUGGUUUGAGAGGAUGAUCAGCCACACUGGGACUGAGACACGGCCCAGACUCCUACGGAAGGCAGCAGUGGGGAAUAUUAGACAAUGGGCGCAAGCCUGAUCUAGCCAUGCCGCGUGAGUGAAGAAGGCCCUAGGGUUGUAAAGAUCUUUCAGAUGUGAGGAUGAUGACAGUAGCAUCAGAAGAAGCCCCGGCUAACUUCG
RNAcentral lists this ribosomal RNA (441 nucleotides) under uncultured Kiloniellales bacterium. Its description in RNAcentral is "bacterial SSU rRNA". It matches the Rfam family "Bacterial small subunit ribosomal RNA", at positions 29 to 505 of the family's 1533-position model. Lineage: Bacteria; Pseudomonadati; Pseudomonadota; Alphaproteobacteria; Rhodospirillales. The record is from RNAcentral.